GUGAUGUCUCCAGGCUGCAACCACGAGGCUUGCUUAUAGGCCACGAUGCUGUAAGAAUUUAUAACAGAGAAUUACAGGAGAACAGCUGGAAUGGGGAGGGAGGGUCUCUAGCCAUCUCUCAGAGACUCUGUCCAUAAUACGGAGGGCCCUUUGCAUCUACAUUUUCCCUUUCUCGGAGCCUCUUCCCAUCUCACUUCCGUCUGAUGAUACACUCCCAUGUGGACCCGAAGCUCAGGCUUCACUCAUCCCAAGCAGAAUUAAUUGCAUCCUCUUCUGCCUUUCCAUUGCCCUUUUCUCUCUUCCAUAAAUCAUUAGGUUGUUUAAAAAUAUUGGGAGAUAAAAUGGAGGCCUAGGACUGAAGAGCUGAAGUUGAAGUCUUGAAUCUGUGUGACCUUUGGCGUGUCCUUCAGCCUCUGGUGUUCUCCUUUUCCCAACUGUUUGAGCUCUAGGAACCCCAGGUUCUAAGCUGGAACACAGUUCUUCCUAAUGGAUGGACCACAUCUGGAGCUACUGGGUGGGGGGUGGGCAGAAAUCCAAAUCCUUCUAAGGAAAAGCUUUGUAGAAACUUCCAAACACAGAUUCCCCACCUUCUGUGACCCCAGGGCUCUCCAGGGAGGAGCACUCACUAUUCUUAAAGCUCACUAUAUGACAGAGCUGGCAAGAGGCAAGUAGAGGCAGGCAGCCCAGGACCCCAUGAACUGUUCCAGGCCGACUCCACAGCUCACCCUAGCUGUGGGACCAUGACAGCACAGCCACGUGGUUGGUGAAUUAUUUUAAGGCAGGACAAGAAGGCUUUUCAACAUGAAGAUUCUCUGCCCAUGUUGACUGUUGAUCAACUUUUGUUGAUUAUGGUGGUGGCCAACCCCUGACAUCCUUCCAGCUCAACAAGCAGCUCCUGGGCGGUCACAACAAUGCGCAAGGGCUCCAGGGUCUCCCGGCCUCACCAGCACCCCUAUAUCUAUUCUGGUAGAGCCAUCCGGAGAGGAAUCAGGUGAUACCUCAUUGUGGUUUUGAUUUGCAUUGCCCCGACUAUUAGCGUGUCUUUUCACAUGCAUGUUGGCCGUUUGUAUCUCUUCUUUGGAGAAAUCUCUGUCCAAAGACUUUUUUUUUUUUGGUCUAAGUCAUUAGCACACUUUUGUUUUACGACUGAAUUGUAGGAAUUCUUACACAUUUUGGAGAUUGUCUUCCUUUCAGAUAUGUGGUGUGCACUAUUUUUCUCCCACUCUGUAGAUUGCCUUUUGACUCUGUUGAUUUUUUCUUUUGCUGUGCAGAAGCUUUUUCGCUUGAUGUCGUCCCACUUGUUUAUUUUUAGGUUCUUGAAGAGAGAUUAGCACUCCUGUAGCACUAUUCACAAUAGCUAAGAUAUAGAAGUGACCUAAAUGUGUAUUAAUGGAUGAGUGGGAAAAGAACAUGUGGUAUAUAAAUAUAGCUGAAUGUUUUUUGGCCUUUAAGAAGAAGGUGGUCCAGUGGUUAAGAAUCUGCUUUGCAAUGCAGGGGACGAAGGUUCAAUCCCUGGUCAGAGAACCAAGAUCCCACCUACUGAGGAGCAACUGAGCCUGUGUGUGCGGCAAAAAGAGAGUCUGGGCGCCGCAACAAAGAUCCUGCAUGACCCAGUGAAGAACCUGCAUGCCGCAACUAAAAUCCAAUGCAGCCAAUAAAUAUUUUUUUAAAAAGAAAGAAAUCCUGAGAUUUGUGGAUUCAACAUGGAUCAAACCUGAAGACAUUAUGCUAAGUGAAAUAAGCCAGUUGUAGGAAGACAAAUACUGCAUGAUUUCCCAUAUGAGGUACCUAAAAUCGUCAGAGUGGAAUGGUGGUUGCCAGGGAUGGGGGUGGAGGGAAGAAGAAAUGGGGAAUUACUAAUCAACAAGCAUAAAGUUUCAGUUAAGCUAAAUACAGAAGCUCCAGAGAUCUGCUGAACAAUGUUGUAUUUAUAGUCAGUAACAUUACACACGUAAAGGUUUGUUAAGAGAGGAGCGCUCAUGUUAAGUAUUCUUACCAUAAUUAAAAAAAAAAAACAAAACACCUCGGGAGAAGCUAUGCUUAGCCCUUCCUUCAUACCAAAGACCUCUCAGAGAAGAGUCCUGCUUUGAGCACCUGAAUUAAUGGGCCCAGAGCCAGGACAGGACCCAGGCCAGCAUAGAUCCCAGCCUGGAGGCUUUGGCCUCAAAUCACAGGACUGACAGAGGGGGAGGUCCUGUCAGCCCGGCAUGUCCCUACAAAUGCUAAAACUGGACUCUGGCAGGGGCAGAUUCCACAAAAACAGAGUCACCAGGAUUAUUUGCUUCUGAGUAAAGUCCCCGGGACCCUUUCUCUUUUCUUUGCAGUUCUUCCAUUUCAUGGGCUCACUGCCUUGGACUAAGUGGAGAUGGGUCUCCCUGUCCGCCUUGCUGCCUGUACCACUCCUGCAAAGUGGACCAGGGUGGUGGGUGGUGCAGGGGCCAAGGUGCCCCACAGACAGCAACGCUUCUUCUUCGGGAUCAUCCCCAGGGGUAGAAAGUCAAAACACUCCAGCUUUCUCCCUGUCUGCUUAACCCUGACCCAGCACGGGCAAGCAGGAACCUGAAGUCAUACAAGGGACAAUCAGAUCUGCACGGAGAGUUUAUAAAGUCAAAAGGAUAGCGUGCCUGUGGGAGUAGGGACUAAACUCUAAAUGAUCUCAUGUAGAUGUGCACCCUUCAGACAGUUUUUAGAUGAGCUAUAAUCUUCUCUACCCCUCCCUGUGCUCAGGGCCCUGUGUGCAGGUCUAGUCAGCUCUGCCUUCUACAAAGAGAACGUCCCGCCUCAUCUCCCUAACAAGCCGGGCAGUCCCUCAAAACGCCCACACUGUCCUCUUGCACUCCAUCACGGAGGCCCACCUUGGGAGGUGCUGGUUUCACCCAACCCAUGCCUGGCUUUCCCACUCCAUUCUUAACCCUGUUCUUCCAGAGGCCACAACAAACAAAGCAGUCCGAGCAGCCUAUACCUGUAAUGGGCAGAGGCUCCAGGGGAUGGAUAGCUUGUGGAGGAAGAUGGUAUUCACCCAUCAGAUAUGGCCGCCAGAACAACAGCUUGGACCAGAUGGAUCACUUUAGCGAUUUAAUCAAGAGGUCUGUCUUUUCUUGGGGCCACAGUGCCUAGAAGACAGCCCUAGAGGUCUGGGAGGGUCCAUAGGGUCUCACUUUUUCCCAUACUUUGUGAAACCAGGGAAAUUUGAGGGGCCUCUGAGAGAUUCAUGCCCAGUCCAGGACACAUUUAGUGGUAGCUGUGUCAUCAUGGUGCUAGCCAGACCUGGGACCUGAAUUCUCUGGCCCAGAAAUGAACUAUUAUCAGGGCAAUUGGCACCUCUCCCAGUUUAGGCUACUGAGGUUUGCAUUGUAUUUUUCAUGAUAUCCCACUCCUCUCUCCAUCUCUGAAGCAGGCUCUAGCUAAGUGAAUGCCUGGCUGUCCUGUGUAGUCUAGGCUACCAGCAAGUAUAGCCCUUAAGCCAAGUUGAGGCCUGACCCUGCCACUUUAGUCUCUAGCACAAGUCUGGCUUUAUUCAACUGCAAAGGUUAAAUUCUCACUUUUUUGCAUUGAUAAAGUCACACUGUUUGAGGAGAAAGGGACAUGUAAAAAGGAGCAGCAACAUUUACUGAGCCUGUAUUAUGUACUAAGCAAUUUACAGGGGCUUCCCCAGUGGCUCAGCAGCAAAGAAUCCAUCUGCCAAUGCAAGAGACAAAAGAGAUGUGAGUUCGAUCCCUGGGUUGGGAAGAUCGCCUGGAGUAG
Molecule: long non-coding RNA, 3744 nt
Organism: Cervus elaphus (red deer)
Lineage: Eukaryota; Metazoa; Chordata; Mammalia; Artiodactyla; Cervidae
Exons: 3
Source: RefSeq, a predicted model, not a curated record